Molecule: ribosomal RNA, 498 nt
Filed under: uncultured bacterium
Lineage: Bacteria
Description: bacterial SSU rRNA
Rfam family: Bacterial small subunit ribosomal RNA
Source: RNAcentral
GGCUCAGGAUGAACGCUGGCGGCGUGCCUAACACAUGCAAGUCGAACGAAGCUCUUUGUUGAUUUUUCGGAAUGAUACAAAAGAUGACUUAGUGGCGGACGGGUGAGUAACGCGUGGAUAACCUGCCCUUUGCAGGGGAUAACAGUUAGAAAUGACUGCUAAUACCGCAUAAGCGCACACUACCGCAUGGUAGAGUGUGAAAAGCGCAUACGGCAAAGGAUGGGUCCGCGUCUGAUUAGCUGGUUGGUGAGGUAACGGCUCACCAAGGCGACGAUCAGUAGCCGGCCUGAGAGGGCGACCGGCCACAUUGGGACUGAGACACGGCCCAGACUCCUACGGGAGGCAGCAGUGGGGAAUAUUGCACAAUGGGGGAAACCCUGAUGCAGCCGACGCCGCGUGAGCGAAGAAGUAUUUCGGUAUGUAAAGCUCUAUCAGCAGGGAAGAUAACUGACCGGUACCUGACUAACGAAGCUCCGGCUAAUACGUGCCAGCCGCCGC